CAGGGAUGUGGUCCACAGGCUAGGAGAGGGCUGGGUCCUUAGGGUCUCACAGGGUCAAAAUGGAGGCAGAUGCUGGAUGGCGCGCUUAUCUGGACGUCCUUGAGAAGAAGAAUCAGCUUUCGACCUCCUUCAGGCUGUUGACAGAAUUCAGAUCCUGUGGCUGGUGAGGACGGAGGACCCCUUCCUUGCUGGCUGUCAGGAUGCAGGUUCCCAGGUACUGCUACAAGGCUGAUGGAGAAAGGGAUGGCAACAGGAGCGUCAGACAAAGAAGCUCAUUCUAUAGACCCAGCAGGGCCAGCACUGACCAACAGAUGACCAGGCAAUUUGAAAGGAAGAGAGGAUUUAGGCGCCAUACUCAAGGUUACCUGGGUAAGAAAUGAUGGAGCAAGAAUGUCACCCAUGGGACCACACCCCUUAUAAAUUGGAGUGUUUCUGCAAAUUCUAAGAGGUUCUUAACAUUAUCCAGAAUGGUGCCCUGGUGGACGAUCAUGCACCUUGCUGGCGAGGCGCUUUCUUCAGGUCCAUAAAUGCUUGCUGUGAGUGAAGAACUGAAGAACUGUCCUAUUUGCAUUCUAACCACAAAAAAGCUAGAGGACUCAGGAGUUAGAGUUGCUUUGAUCUACACAUAUUCUUGUUGCUUCUAUCCCUUUCUAAUGCUACAGAUUGCACUGAUGCAGUGAAGCACUGCCAAAUCAACGUGGUUAGGAAAGCAGAAGAGCAAAUUAACAGAAGUCUCCUUACAGUAUGACCACACAACAGGAGAAAUUGCAAAACAUUAACUAAAGUUAAAAAGUGGUCGAACUAGCAUGUGCACAUAAACAUCUUAUUAUUUAACAAAAAAUAAAUUUACCCCUAGGAAUACCUGGGUCUUCAUCAUUAUAGUGUCUCUGAAAUUACAAAGUAAGGGAAAUAAAGACAAAGGUCUGAUUGGAAGCUGCAAAUACAAUGGGUGUAGCCAAUAUGGUCAUGAGGUGCCGCACAGCCCAAAGAGCC
This 993-nucleotide long non-coding RNA is filed under the name Homo sapiens (human). RNAcentral's name for it is "long non-coding RNA NONHSAT209726.1". Lineage: Eukaryota; Metazoa; Chordata; Mammalia; Primates; Hominidae. The record is from RNAcentral.